RNAcentral lists this long non-coding RNA (1953 nucleotides) under Setaria italica (foxtail millet). Its description in RNAcentral is "long non-coding RNA (SITA_LNC003037)". Lineage: Eukaryota; Viridiplantae; Streptophyta; Magnoliopsida; Poales; Poaceae. The record is from RNAcentral.
UUUGUUAAUUUCUAUUCUUUAUGAGACAGUUAUCUCGUAAUAGUUUGUGAUUUGUGAUGAAUAAUAUGUAGUGGUUGUCUCUAUGAGGAACAUAAUUUAUUUUCUUGUAUACAUAAAUAUGUGUGUUGUGUUUAUUAUUUUGCUAACGGGAUCAGAAUUGAAAUAAAAUCAAUUAUUUGUCCGAUCCAAUUAGUUAAAUUUAUGUCUGCGUUAAGUGGGCUUAGCCCACAUAUAAUUGGGGCAAAAGUGUAUUCCAUUCAUAAAUCAGCACUAAAAGGGCCGCAAACAAUAUGCACAACUUUUGAGCUCGACCCAAUAACUUAUGAGCCUACCGGAAUCAAUUUUGAGUUAUUGGAACAACAUUGGCAUGUGGGAAUAAAUUUGGACUCGACCUAACAACAAAUGGGCCAAAUUCAUUUUAUGAUGAAACAAUUUGUCACAACUGUCAUGCCACAUCGGAUGCUACAUCAGAUUCUGUCCAUCGUAGCAAAACAGGAGGAGCCAAUUUAUGAUGUUUUUGUUGACGUUUCGUAUGCGUCAUAGAUACAAUAAGGAACGUCACUAGUCACGGUUUAUGACGCUCGAUUAAUAACGGGGGAUUUUUGUCACUCGAGCAUCAUAAAUCACAAUUUAUGACAAAAAAUAUGCUUAUGACACGUUUUGAUUUGUCAUAGACCAGAAUAUUUCUUAUAGUACUCGCCGUCGUGCCGUCUGCAUGCCUCCCACUACGGCCCCCUUCCCCGACCUUCCUAACCAGUACACUGCCUCGCCCCCGCCGCCGACACCGGCUGUCGGACAUCCUCCACCACCCUACCGGUGGAGUCAUCGCUGCCUGGCCUCGCCGCCCGCAACCCACGCUCCUCCGCCGGGCAUGCCGCUGCUGUCGGACAACCCUUUAGGCCCGCUGAUCAUGGUGCCUCCCUCACAAUCACGAACCCAGGGAACCCAGAAACCAGGACCCCGCCAGCCUCCACCGCCAUCCGCAGCUGGCCGCCCCCGCCCACCUCCCGCCCGCAGGCCACGGUCAUCUUUCUUUUGCCAUUGUUACUUUCUGUAUGUCAUGUUACUUUAAUAGUCAUCAAUGUAACAAAAAGGGGUCUUUGGUUAACUUCAAUGGAGACGCUUCUCCAUAUAGCUUUUGCGUAAAACGAAUUCAGCUCACCAGCUCGCUCAUACCCGUUCAAGCACCAGCAGAAUUCAGCUCACCAAGCACCUCACAUGCCUUGGAGACAUUCUUUAUGGUCCGUGAUUUGGCCUCUCCCGCCGUCGUCUACGUGCCUGGCCAUCCCCACCAGAUAGCGCAAUCCUUCCUUGUAAUCCCUGUAGAGCAUGCACCCGUAACCACCGUGGUUCACGCGGCCAAAUACCUCUUGGACAUUUCUUCGAACACUUUCAUGGCGUAGCCGACAAGCAUGCACCAGCGUUGAUGCGACAGCGAUGGAACCGCCAUCGUUUACGCAGAGGCCAUACCUGACGAUGUAAAUGUGCAUGGAGAAGCCAACGGCGAGCGGCCUGAGCUCGGUACCGGCAGGGCGGCGAGCGCCGCCGUGAACCCUGGGCCUCCGCGCACCGCCUACCGCGCCGCCCCCUCCGCCUGCAGCGCUGCUCGCCGCCCUCCGCCCGCGUGGUGGUACAAGAAACCGAGACAAGGUGCUGCUCCCAGGGCUGGAGCCUGUGCUACGCGGCGCGCGGGAGGAAGGCAGCACCACUGUGGUGGCGGCCUUGACGCGUCCUGAGAAGAGCGCUCAGCGUGCGGCCCACUGCCCGCGAUUCCCUCAGACUGCUGCGCCGCUAGCCGCGCUCGCUUGCAGCGCCGCCCAUCGCUCUCCACCCUGCGUCUUCUCUUCCCCACAAAGGCAGCCAUUGGUGUGGAUUUGUGGCGGUACUGUUUCUGCGAUAAUGGAAAGGAGACAAGCAGAUCCACUAGUUUAUGCUUGGCCGGGUGGAGAGAAG